AUCUGCACUUAGUCCCACUUCAAAUCAUCGUUCAUAACAUUCACUGCCCGAUUUAUCUUCCUUAUAGAUCUUGAGAUGUCAUCUCUCUGCUUAAUUCAUUCUUGGACCUCACUGUGUGACUGUAGAGAAAAAAGCGAGGCACAAAGAAGAAAAGUGAUUGAUUUCGGAUCAUGAACAGGGAAGGUCAAAACUGGAAAAAGAACACAGGAGUCCAUAUUUCCUUUCCAACGUUCUCACCAAGUUCACUACUGAUGCUAGUCCCCUUUACCCAUACCCAUGGUAGGGGGAAAAAAAGUCAAAUUGGAACGGCCAGAUCUUGUGACUUUUUUGAAAUAGACUUUUGAACCUUAAAAUCUUACUUUCCUAUAAUAUUCUAGGAUACAUGA
Phascolarctos cinereus (koala) is the source of this 386-nucleotide non-coding RNA. The record is from RefSeq and is a predicted model, not a curated record. Lineage: Eukaryota; Metazoa; Chordata; Mammalia; Diprotodontia; Phascolarctidae.